Molecule: long non-coding RNA, 335 nt
Filed under: Homo sapiens (human)
Lineage: Eukaryota; Metazoa; Chordata; Mammalia; Primates; Hominidae
Description: non-protein coding lnc-RAB39B-2:1
Source: RNAcentral
CAGAGUUUAAUGACUUCAGUGAAUAGUACCUGUAAAUGUCACACUAAUGUGCUCUGCAGAGAAGGAAGAAAAUGAUGUGACAUACAAUUGGAGUCCCCUGGAAGAAGAGGGUGAUAUCCUUAGCAACUUCCAGAACCCAGAUAACCAAGAGUUGACUUAAAUUUGUACAGCCGGGAACCGACAACAACUCUCACUCCAUCUUUGCCUGGAAGCUUUGGACAUGCCAAUGGGCCUCCAUACUCACUACCCUGGGUUGUUGAGUGUGCUGGUAGUGUUCUCACUGUGUAUUGUUAUUGUAUCUUCAGUGUUUUUGCUCUGUUUAUACAAGAGAGGAC